This 878-nucleotide ribosomal RNA is filed under the name uncultured bacterium. Its description in RNAcentral is "bacterial SSU rRNA". It matches the Rfam family "Bacterial small subunit ribosomal RNA", at positions 102 to 1014 of the family's 1533-position model. The record is from RNAcentral.
ACGGCUGAGUAACGCGUAGGAACGUACCCCAAACUGAGGGAUAAGCACCAGAAAUGGUGUCUAAUACCGCAUGUGAUCUCCGGAUUAAAGCUUCGGCGGUUUGGGAACGGCCUGCGUACGAUUAGAUAGUUGGUAGGGUAAUGGCCUACCAAGUCGACGAUCGUUAGCUGGUCUGAGAGGAUGAUCAGCCAGACUGGGACUGAGAACGGCCCAGACUCCUACGGGAGGCAGCAGUAGGGAAUUUUCCACAAUGGGCGAAAGCCUGAUGGAGCAACGCCGCGUGCAGGAUGAAUGCCUUCGGGUUGUAGACUGCCUUUAUAUGUGACGAAUAUGACGGUAGCAUAUGAAUAAGGAUCGGCUAACUCCGUGCCAGCAGCCGCGGUCAUACGGAGGAUCCAAGCGUUAUCCGGAAUUACUGGGCGUAAAGAGUUGCGUAGGUGGCACUGUGUGUCGGUAGUGAAAGCGUGUGGCUCAACCAUAUAUACAUUACCGAAACUGCAGAGCUAGAGGACGAGAGAGGUAACUGGAAUUCCUAGUGUAGGAGUGAAAUCCGUAGAUAUUAGGAGGAACACCGAUGGCGUAGGCAGGUUACUGGCUCGUUCCUGACACUAAGGCACGAAAGCGUGGGGAGCAAACGGGAUUAGAUACCCCGGUAGUCCACGCCGUAAACGAUGAAUGCUAGCUGUUAUGGGUAUCGACCCCCGUAGUAGCGAAGCUAACGCGUUAAGCAUUCCGCCUGUGGAGUACGGUCGCAAGACUAAAACAUAAAGGAAUUGACGGGGACCCGCACAAGCGGUGGAGCGUGUUGUUUAAUUCGAUGGUAAACGAAGAACCUUACCCAGGCUUGACAUCCUCGGAAUUUUGUCGAAAGACGAGAG